GCGCGUAAAUUGCCCGAAUCCUGACACAGGGAGGUAGUGACAAGAAAUAACAAUACAGGGCCUUUUUGGUCUUGUAAUUGGAAUGAGUACAAUUUACAUCUCUUCACGAGGAUCAAUUGGAGGGCAAGUCUGGUGCCAGCAGCCGCGGUAAUUCCAGCUCCAAUAGCGUAUAUUAAAGUUGUUGCAGUUAAAACGCUCGUAGUCGGAUUUCGGGGCGGGCGGGCCGGUCUGCCGAUGGGUAUGCACUGGUUUGCGCGUCCUUCCUUCCGGAGACCAUGCCUACUCUUCACUGAGCGGGUAUGGGAGACGGAAUUUUUACUUUGAAAAAAUCAGAGUGUUUCAAGCAGGCAUUUCGCUUUUGCAUGGAUUAGCAUGGGAUAAUAAAAUAGGACUUUGGUGCUAUUUUGUUGGUUUCGAACACCGAAGUAAUGAUUAACAGGGACAGUCAGGGGCACUCGUAUUCC
This 464-nucleotide ribosomal RNA is filed under the name Haptophyta environmental samples. Its description in RNAcentral is "SSU rRNA". It matches the Rfam family "Eukaryotic small subunit ribosomal RNA", at positions 432 to 900 of the family's 1831-position model. Lineage: Eukaryota; Haptophyta. The record is from RNAcentral.